RNAcentral lists this ribosomal RNA (460 nucleotides) under uncultured bacterium. Its description in RNAcentral is "partial 16S ribosomal RNA". It matches the Rfam family "Bacterial small subunit ribosomal RNA", at positions 338 to 795 of the family's 1533-position model. The record is from RNAcentral.
CCUACGGGUGGCAGCAGUGAGGAAUAUUGGUCAAUGGCCGUAAGGCUGAACCAGCCAAGUCGCGUGAAGGAAGAAGGAUCUAUGGUUUGUAAACUUCUUUUAUAGGGGAAUAAAGGUAUCCACGUGUGGAUAUUUGCAUGUACCCUAUGAAUAAGCAUAGGCUAACUCCGUGCCAGCAGCCGCGGUAAGACGGAGGAGGCGGGCGUUAUCCGGAUUUAUGUGGGUUAAAGGGUGCGUAGGUUGUUUUUUAAGUCAGCGGUGAAAGUUUGUGGCUCAACCAUAAAAUUGCCGUUGAAACUGGAAGACGUGAGUGUGUUUGAGGUAGGCGGAAUGCGUGGUGUAGCGGUGAAAUGCAUAGAUAUCACGCAGAACUCCGAUUGCGAAGGCAGCAUACCGGUGCACAACUGACGCUCAGGCACGAAAGCGUGGGUAUCGAACAGGAUUAGAUACCCUGGUAGUC